UACGGUCCUUCAGUGACUCUCACUGUAACUAUGAAGCUGGUGUUCCUGCUCGCCUGUCUUCUGGCGGUGACCGUCGCCAGCGGCUAUUACGACGAUGACGAUUACGACUACGGCUACGGCUACGGCCGCUACGGCGGCUACAGCCGACACUACGGGUACAGUCGGUACUACCCCGGAUACGGAUACAGCCGGCACUAUGGAUACAGUCGGCGCUACCCAGGCUUUGGAUACAAACACUUCUUCUAGACAGAGCUCAGCAAGACAGCCUAAGCCAACGUCACUCGUUCAAAACUGCCGGCAAAGUCAUGGCUGAAAGACAGCAUGAUCGUCACAAUUGCAAUAGGCCUAGGUUAAAUUGAAUAAAUAGCGCUUUAUUUGCUCAUCGUAUGACACAACAACAACACCCACAAACACCAUCCAUACACUAACGCACAAACACAACAUAAAUAAGUCUGUCUUUCCUUCAGUCACCUUGGUGUUCUUGAUAUUCUUUCAUAGCUUCGAGUUAUGUUAUAGUAUCUAUCCAUAUGUGUUCUAACCUCUGUGUCCUUUUAGUGUUGCGAGAAGUGAGAAAUAAAUGUUUCGUGUUUC
This is a long non-coding RNA of Amphibalanus amphitrite, 591 nucleotides long. RefSeq lists it as uncharacterized. The record is from RefSeq and is a predicted model, not a curated record. NCBI's taxonomy places the organism in Eukaryota, Metazoa, Arthropoda, Thecostraca, Balanomorpha, Balanidae. The transcript is spliced from 2 exons.